Molecule: ribosomal RNA, 493 nt
Filed under: Psychrobacter sp. Nj-78
Lineage: Bacteria; Pseudomonadati; Pseudomonadota; Gammaproteobacteria; Moraxellales; Moraxellaceae
Description: bacterial SSU rRNA
Rfam family: Bacterial small subunit ribosomal RNA
Source: RNAcentral
GCUAAUUCUGUGCCAGCAGCCGCGGUAAUACAGAGGGUGCAAGCGUUAAUCGGAAUUACUGGGCGUAAAGCGAGCGUAGGUGGCUUGAUAAGUCAGAUGUGAAAUCCCCGGGCUUAACCUGGGAACUGCAUCUGAAACUGUUAGGCUAGAGUAGGUGAGAGGAAGGUAGAAUUCAGGUGCACCGGUGAAAUGCGUAGAGAUCUGGAGGAAUACCGAUGGCGAAGGCAGCCUUCUGGCAUCAUACUGACACUGAGGCUCGAAAGCGUGGGUAGCAAACAGGAUUAGAUACCCCUGGUAGUCCACGCCGUAAACGAUGUCUGCUAGUCGUUGGGUCCCUUGAGGACUUAGUGACGCAGCUAACGCAAUAAGUAGACCGCCUGGGGAGUACGGCCGCAAGGUUAAAACUCAAAUGAAUUGACCGGGGGCCCGCACAAGCGGUGGAGCAUGUGGUUUAAUUCGAUGCAACGCGAAGAACCUUACCUGGUCUUGACAU